CAUAAAGGGUAUAAAGCUUGACUUGCAUCAGAUAGGAGGUAUAGUGAACCAUGAAGUGUUGCAGAGACUUGGGGAAAGCAUGCAGGAUAUAGGGAAAUGGGUCCAGGAGAAGCUCCCCAUAAGCAUGUCCAACCCUGUCCAUCCCUCUGCACCCCGGAGAUGCAGUUUGGGUAAAAGAGUGGAACUUAACCCCUUGGGCCCCAGAUGGAGAGGUC
Molecule: long non-coding RNA, 215 nt
Organism: Nanorana parkeri
Lineage: Eukaryota; Metazoa; Chordata; Amphibia; Anura; Dicroglossidae
Exons: 4
Source: RefSeq, a predicted model, not a curated record